GAUGCUGACGAGUGGCGAACGGGUGAGUAAUACAUCGGAACGUGCCCGAUCGUGGGGGAUAACGAAGCGAAAGCUUUGCUAAUACCGCAUACGAUCUACGGAUGAAAGCAGGGGACCGCAAGGCCUUGCGCGAACGGAGCGGCCGAUGGCAGAUUAGGUAGUUGGUGGGAUAAAAGCUUACCAAGCCGACGAUCUGUAGCUGGUCUGAGAGGACGACCAGCCACACUGGGACUGAGACACGGCCCAGACUCCUACGGGAGGCAGCAGUGGGGAAUUUUGGACAAUGGGCGCAAGCCUGAUCCAGCCAUGCCGCGUGCAGGAUGAAGGCCUUCGGGUUGUAAACUGCUUUUGUACGGAACGAAAAGACUCUGGUUAAUACCUGGGGUCCAUGACGGUACCGUAAGAAUAAGCACCGGCUAACUACGUGCCAGCAGCCGCGGUAAUACGUAGGGUGCAAGCGUUAAUCGGAAUUACUGGGCGUAAAGCGUGCGCAGGCGGUUAUAUAAGACAGAUGUGAAAUCCCCGGGCUCAACCUGGGAACUGCAUUUGUGACUGUAUGGCUAGAGUACGGCAGAGGGGGAUGGAAUUCCGCGUGUAGCAGUGAAAUGCGUAGAUAUGCGGAGGAACACCGAUGGCGAAGGCAAUCCCCUGGGCCUGU
Molecule: ribosomal RNA, 658 nt
Filed under: uncultured bacterium
Lineage: Bacteria
Description: bacterial SSU rRNA
Rfam family: Bacterial small subunit ribosomal RNA
Source: RNAcentral